RNAcentral lists this ribosomal RNA (770 nucleotides) under Bacillus sp. (in: firmicutes). Its description in RNAcentral is "bacterial SSU rRNA". It matches the Rfam family "Bacterial small subunit ribosomal RNA", at positions 71 to 824 of the family's 1533-position model. Lineage: Bacteria; Bacillati; Bacillota; Bacilli; Caryophanales; Bacillaceae. The record is from RNAcentral.
AAUGGGAGCUUGCUCCCAUUUCUCAGCGGCGGACGGGUGAGUAACACGUGGGCAACCUGCCCUACAGACUGGGAUAACUCCGGGAAACCGGAGCUAAUACCGGGUAAUACGUAGCAUCGCAUGAUGCAACGUUGAAAGUUGGCCUUUGGCUAACACUGUAGGAUGGGCCCGCGGCGCAUUAGCUAGUUGGUAAGGUAACGGCUUACCAAGGCCACGAUGCGUAGCCGACCUGAGAGGGUGAUCGGCCACACUGGGACUGAGACACGGCCCAGACUCCUACGGGAGGCAGCAGUAGGGAAUCUUCCGCAAUGGACGAAAGUCUGACGGAGCAACGCCGCGUGAGUGACGAAGGCCUUCGGGUCGUAAAGCUCUGUUGUUAGGGAAGAACAAGUACCGUUCGAAUAGGGCGGUACCUUGACGGUACCUAACCAGAAAGCCACGGCUAACUACGUGCCAGCAGCCGCGGUAAUACGUAGGUGGCAAGCGUUGUCCGGAAUUAUUGGGCGUAAAGCGCGCGCAGGCGGUCUCUUAAGUCUGAUGUGAAAGCCCACGGCUCAACCGUGGAGGGCCAUUGGAAACUGGGGGACUUGAGUGCAGAAGAGGAGAGUGGAAUUCCACGUGUAGCGGUGAAAUGCGUAGAUAUGUGGAGGAACACCAGUGGCGAAGGCGGCUCUCUGGUCUGUAACUGACGCUGAGGCGCGAAAGCGUGGGGAGCGAACAGGAUUAGAUACCCUGGUAGUCCACGCCGUAAACGAUGAGUGCUAGGUGUU